AAUCCAUGAUGAGGGCAUAGUCUUAUCAUAUCUUUAUAUCUUUCCCAUGAAUCAAAAAGUGUCACUCCUUCAUCUUGUUUAAACAUAGUUAUAUGAUUUCUCAAUACU
Molecule: small nucleolar RNA, 108 nt
Organism: Lathyrus oleraceus (garden pea)
Lineage: Eukaryota; Viridiplantae; Streptophyta; Magnoliopsida; Fabales; Fabaceae
Source: RefSeq, a predicted model, not a curated record